This 862-nucleotide long non-coding RNA is filed under the name Brassica rapa (field mustard). RNAcentral describes it as "long non-coding RNA (BRAP_LNC001158)". Lineage: Eukaryota; Viridiplantae; Streptophyta; Magnoliopsida; Brassicales; Brassicaceae. The record is from RNAcentral.
GCCAUUUGGGCCUAUUAAAAAAUCAGAUUCAAUUCUCACUUUUUUUUUCCUUUGGGCCAUUGAGUCCAAGUUCAAAUAAUUUUUUUUUCAACUAUUCUUAAUUAUUAUUUUUUUCUUUUCUUAAUAUAAUUUAAGCAUUCAUAAAAAUAAUUGAUUUUUUUAUUGAAAAGUAUAAAUCUUUAUUAAAAGUAUAUAAUUUUUUAAUUAAAAUAUUAACCCCAUUAUAAAAUUAAUUUAUCAGAGUUAUACCAACUUAAUUCAUUAAAGAAAUAAAAUUUAAUUUUUUUAACAUAAAUAGUCAUUUAAAAUGAAAUACGAUAAAUAAAGAUAAAAUUUUUAAGUCUUUUAUAAAAUAAAACACAAAUAUAUGGAAAUGUGACAUUUACUAAAUAUUUGUCAAUUGAAAAAAAAAACAAAAAUAAACUCGCGCUUUCAAAGCGCGGGUCAAAAUCUAGUAAUCUCUUAAACGUAGAGCAUGAGCAGUGGUAACUUUUUGUAAAAGGACUCCUCAUUCCAAAUAUUAACAAAAAAAAUAAAAAACAGGAAAGAGAAACAAGAAAAAGAAAGAAGUGUAUGCCUUUUUUUUUAAGCUGAUUUAUUAUGACAUUACAUUUAUGAGAAAGAUUACAUAAAUAAUCGACAACCGGUAAUAAUAUCUGCCUUAUGAAGAUCUACGCCUAACUGCAUCAUCUGAGCCGUCCUAUGAAAAUCUAUUUCUGACCAGAUUUACUUGUAUCAUGUUGAAGCUUCCUUGUAAACUUUUUUUUUUUGUAGUCUACAUUAAUAAAUCGCUCUUCUCCAGAACUUGAAACAUAGAUUUCAUGUAAUCUGCUAGAAAUUACAUGUUUGAGAUUCGAACCUC